RNAcentral lists this ribosomal RNA (253 nucleotides) under uncultured bacterium. RNAcentral's name for it is "partial 16S ribosomal RNA". It matches the Rfam family "Bacterial small subunit ribosomal RNA", at positions 524 to 776 of the family's 1533-position model. The record is from RNAcentral.
UACGAAGGGGGCUAGCGUUGCUCGGAAUCACUGGGCGUAAAGGGUGCGUAGGCGGGUCUUUAAGUCAGGGGUGAAAUCCUGGAGCUCAACUCCAGAACUGCCUUUGAUACUGAGGAUCUUGAGUACGGGAGAGGUGAGUGGAACUGCGAGUGUAGAGGUGAAAUUCGUAGAUAUUCGCAAGAACACCAGUGGCGAAGGCGGCUCUCUGGACCGAGACUGACGCUGAGGCGCGAAAGCGUGGGGAGCAAACAGG